UGAGGUGCUUGCACCUUAUCUUAGCGGCGGACGGGUGAGUAAUGCUUAGGAAUCUGCCUAUUAGUGGGGGACAACAUUCCGAAAGGAAUGCUAAUACCGCAUACGCCCUACGGGGGAAAGCAGGGGAUCUUCGGACCUUGCGCUAAUAGAUGAGCCUAAGUCGGAUUAGCUAGUUGGUGGGGUAAAGGCCUACCAAGGCGACGAUCUGUAGCGGGUCUGAGAGGAUGAUCCGCCACACUGGGACUGAGACACGGCCCAGACUCCUACGGGAGGCAGCAGUGGGGAAUAUUGGACAAUGGGCGGAAGCCUGAUCCAGCCAUGCCGCGUGUGUGAAGAAGGCCUUUUGGUUGUAAAGCACUUUAAGCGAGGAGGAGGCUACUUAGAUUAAUACUCUAGGAUAGUGGACGUUACUCGCAGAAUAAGCACCGGCUAACUCUGUGCCAGCAGCCGCGGUAAUACAGAGGGUGCGAGCGUUAAUCGGAUUUACUGGGCGUAAAGCGUGCGUAGGCGGCUGAUUAAGUCGGAUGUGAAAUCCCUGAGCUUAACUUAGGAAUUGCAUUCGAUACUGGUCAGCUAGAGUAUGGGAGAGGAUGGUAGAAUUCCAGGUGUAGCGGUGAAAUGCGUAGAGAUCUGGAGGAAUACCGAUGGCGAAGGCAGCCAUCUGGCCUAAUACUGACGCUGAGGUACGAAAGCAUGGGGAGCAAACAGGAUUAGAUACCCUGGUAGUCCAUGCCGUAACGAUGUCUACUAGCCGUUGGGGCCUUUGAGGCUUAGUGGCGCAGCUAACGCGAUAAGUAGACCGCCUGGGGAGUACGGUCGCAAGACUAAAACUCAAAUGAAUUGACGGGGGCCCGCACAAGCGGUGGAGCAUGUGGUUUAAUUCGAUGCAACGCGAAGAACCUUACCUGGUCUUGACAUAGU
RNAcentral lists this ribosomal RNA (921 nucleotides) under uncultured bacterium. RNAcentral describes it as "bacterial SSU rRNA". It matches the Rfam family "Bacterial small subunit ribosomal RNA", at positions 72 to 990 of the family's 1533-position model. The record is from RNAcentral.